RNAcentral lists this ribosomal RNA (467 nucleotides) under uncultured bacterium. RNAcentral describes it as "partial 16S ribosomal RNA". It matches the Rfam family "Bacterial small subunit ribosomal RNA", at positions 28 to 507 of the family's 1533-position model. The record is from RNAcentral.
GAUGAACGCUGGCGGCGUGCCUAACACAUGCAAGUCGAACGGUGAAGCAGAGCUUGCUCUGUGGAUCAGUGGCGAACGGGUGAGUAACACGUGAGCAACCUGCCCCUGACUCUGGGAUAAGCGCUGGAAACGGCGUCUAAUACUGGAUAUGAGCUGCGACCGCAUGGUCAGCAGUUGGAAAGAUUUUUCGGUCUGGGAUGGGCUCACGGCCUAUCAGCUUGUUGGUGAGGUAAUGGCUCACCAAGGCGUCGACGGGUAGCCGGCCUGAGAGGGUGACCGGCCACACUGGGACUGAGACACGGCCCAGACUCCUACGGGAGGCAGCAGUGGGGAAUAUUGCACAAUGGGCGAAAGCCUGAUGCAGCAACGCCGCGUGAGGGAUGACGGCCUUCGGGUUGUAAACCUCUUUUAGCAGGGAAGAAGCGAAAGUGACGGUACCUGCAGAAAAAGCGCCGGCUAACUACGUG